AAUUAUCAUCUGCAAAAAUUUGCUCAAUACUGUAGUUAGGUUCCUUCUUCAUAGAAAGGAUGAUAAUGGUGUGUGAGGCUACUAAAGGCCCAGAAGAGGAGGAAAAUGGUGCUAUCAAAGUGUCGGAUCGACCGUGGGUACUAUAACCAAUAGAAUCGAUGAUUUACCAGAGAUGGACUAAGCCAUGCGCAAUCUUGAUGACCAUGGACUUGAGAUGGGAGAAGGACAUGGUUUCAGAGGACUCAACAUCAAUGAGGGCAAGUUUGUAUGGAUAAGAAUAAUAGUUUCUAAAGAGGAAAGAGACCAUGGUGAGAUUUGGGUCUCUGGGUAAUACCAGAGGUGGUUUGAGUGACUUGAAAACUCCAUCAUGAUCAUACCCAUAUUUCUCCAUUGCAAAUUAAGCAAGAGAAGAGUGAUGGGUAAUUGGGUAGGUGUUUUGAUGGAAAGAUAACAAUUUAUUCAGAUUUGGGGCAAAUGGGUAACACUAUAUGUUUGUCUCUAGUUUUUCGUUAUAUUUUGACUUCAAGUUCAAGUCAGUUUGUUGACCGCCAAGUGUGCUUCCUGCUUUUAUUUUUGAUUUCUUGGAUCUUGCAGCCCUAAAGGCUUCUCUAAGUAUGUAUGUUUUCUAGCUCAAAGAAAGAAAAAUUCAGGUUGUUAGACUCGAAUUAUACUUCUGCAAUGUAUCACAAGAACAAAACCAAGAAGCAUUUAAUAGGAAAUCAGUAGUGAAAAUAUAAAUUAACACCAAACUUUUUACAAACCACAGCCCUGCAUUAGUAAUUUUUCAAUGAAUAUGUGCACGGAGAUGAAGUGCGGUUUCUAAAAAUGGGUGCCAACUUCACCCCCUUAGAUGAAUUCGAAUUGGGGUAUUCAAAUAUCUAAAAUUUGUUUUCUCUUCUUGUUUGCAGGUAUCGCCUGUUUUGGCCUUAGUUUUGUACUUGCCCUUUUCCCUUGCUCAAUUUCAUCCUUUCAAACGAAGCAAACAAGGAAGACACCAAAUUUCAUUUUGCGAACGAAAUAAACAAAGAAAGUUACCACUUGGUAGUUCGAGUUUUCAAGAAACAUGCACUUGGCUUAUUUUGAAUAAACCUGUUUAGUAUUAGCUUACUAAUACUUUUGAGAAAUCUAAUUGAAAAUUGCCUUU
Rosa chinensis is the source of this 1144-nucleotide long non-coding RNA. RefSeq lists it as uncharacterized. The record is from RefSeq and is a predicted model, not a curated record. The transcript is spliced from 2 exons. NCBI's taxonomy places the organism in Eukaryota, Viridiplantae, Streptophyta, Magnoliopsida, Rosales, Rosaceae.